This 543-nucleotide ribosomal RNA is filed under the name uncultured Bacillota bacterium. RNAcentral's name for it is "bacterial SSU rRNA". It matches the Rfam family "Bacterial small subunit ribosomal RNA", at positions 97 to 625 of the family's 1533-position model. The record is from RNAcentral. Lineage: Bacteria; Bacillati; Bacillota.
GGCGAACGGGUGAGUAACACGUAGGUGAUCUACCUUCGAGACGGGAACAACCCAGGGAAACUUGGGCUAAUGCCUGAUAAGACCACGCGCAGGGAUGUGCGGGGCCAAAGGGGGGCGAAAGUCUCUCGCUUGAAGAUGAGCCUGCGGCCUAUCAGCUAGUUGGUAAGGUAAAAGCUUACCAAGGCGAAGACGGGUAGCCGACCUGAGAGGGUGACCGGCCACACUGGGACUGAGACACGGCCCAGACUCCUACGGGAGGCAGCAGUGAGGAAUUUUCCGCAAUGGGCGCAAGCCUGACGGAGCGACGCCGCGUGAGGGAUGAAGGCUUUCGGGUUGUAAACCUCUUUUAAGCGAGAAAAAGGUCCGAUUGCUAAUACCAGUCGGAUUUGAUGGUAUCGCUGGAAUAAGCCCCGGCUAACUACGUGCCAGCAGCCGCGGUAAUGCGUAGGGGGCGAGCGUUGUCCGGAAUUACUGGGCGUAAAGGGCGUGUAGGCGGUUGGAGAAGUCUGGUGUGAAAUGCUUCGGCUUAACUGGAGCGCUGCG